UUCUCUGCCUUUGCCAAUGCUGAUUGGAAGAAGGUUUCGUGUGUGGAGGGGCGGCGUUUGCUGUGGGAGAGCGGACGGCGGACGGUUCCCCUGCUUCCCGCCUGUCUGCUUCAGCUGUUUUUCUUGCUGGUGCGCAUUCCCCCCCCCGCUUUGCUUUGAGGGGGAGGGAUUGACGAUAUCUUUAUUUACAUAAAGAAGUCUGAUGCAAGUCACCUUUAACUCUGGCAAGUUGAAUCCAAGGGCAAGAGCUCUGAAGAGAAGGGGUGGGUCUUUCUCACCCCUUCUGAUCAUCCCAGGUGCACACCACUGGAUCUACAAGAAGGAAACAACCUGCUGGUGUAAAAACGUCUUCUACUGAGAGUUACAGGCAACAGAUUCAUUUCUAGGAGAAAGAUCUGCAGCUGCUACACAGUGCAACUCAAAAAAAAGUUACCAGCAGAUUUCCUAUAUCUGAAUGAUUUCUGUAUGAUUCUUUGCAUAUGUCAAAGGGUUUCAAGUAUUUGGGGUGCUUCCAGAGAAAAGGAUUUCAGCAUUACCCAUCAAAAGAUAUUGUGCAGCAAUUCAAUCUUUCUUCUUUUAGUGGUGAGAAAAAAGACAGAAAAUGAUGAGAAAACAUAAGAAGAUAACAGAGGAAAGAUUUCAUUUGCUUCUCUCUCUUCUGCUCCUCACGUAUAAUCAGCGAGAUGCUCACCCUGACUCACUUCGAAGCUUCCUUUAUUGAAGCAAGGAUAAAUGCAAAAGUUACAAAAAGAAAUAAAAUGAUGA
Python bivittatus (Burmese python) is the source of this 765-nucleotide long non-coding RNA. RefSeq lists it as uncharacterized. Lineage: Eukaryota; Metazoa; Chordata; Lepidosauria; Squamata; Pythonidae. The record is from RefSeq and is a predicted model, not a curated record.